GACGAACGCUGGCGGCGUGCUUAAUACAUGCAAGUCGAACGGAAAGGCCCUGCUUUUGUGGGGUGCUCGAGUGGCGAACGGGUGAGUAAAACGUGAGUAACCUGCCCUUGACUUUGGGAUAACUUCAGGAAACUGGGGCUAAUACCGGAUAGGAGCUCCUGCUGCAUGGUGGGGGUUGGAAAGAUUCGGCGGUUGGGGAUGGACUAGCGGCUUAUCCGCUUGUUGGUGGGGUAGUGGAUUACCAAGGCUUUGACGGGUAGCCGGCCUGAGAGGGUGACCGGCCACAUUGGGACUGAGGUACGGAGCAGACUCGUACGGGAGGCAGCAGGGGCGAAUAUGGCACAACAGACGGAAGCCUGAUCCAGCAGCGCCGCGUGCGGGAAGCCGGCCUGCGAGUUGUAAACCGCUUUCACCGGAGACGAAGCGUGAGUGACGGUAAUGGGUAAGAAAGCACCGGCUAACUACGUG
Molecule: ribosomal RNA, 468 nt
Filed under: uncultured bacterium
Lineage: Bacteria
Description: partial 16S ribosomal RNA
Rfam family: Bacterial small subunit ribosomal RNA
Source: RNAcentral